This is a long non-coding RNA of Balaenoptera ricei (Rice's whale), 624 nucleotides long. RefSeq lists it as uncharacterized. The transcript is spliced from 4 exons. The record is from RefSeq and is a predicted model, not a curated record. Lineage: Eukaryota; Metazoa; Chordata; Mammalia; Artiodactyla; Balaenopteridae.
UGGUUUCCCUCUCGUUGCCUGAUGAGAAGGGGUCGCUCCACCAGUUUUUAGUUGUUUUUUUUUUCCUGAGGACAUUGUUCCAUACAUAGCUGUAGGCUUGGUGUGUCCGUGGGAUGAGGUCAGUUCAGGAUCUUCCCCUGCACCGACAUCUUGACCAGGAAUCUCUGAAAAUCUUAAAAGGAACCAGAGCUUCUGAAUCAACAAACCUACAGGAGCCAAGAGGAGAUACCUGUACGGAGAGCUCCGGAGGCAUUUCCAUAGGCUCAUUGUCAAGUAAAUGUUAAAGCCCCCAUUCACUGGGAAGCAAAGUUCCAUUAUCUUGCUUUUGAAUCAUGGAAAGUGAACAACUGUGGGACAGGCGGCCUUAUUUACAUAGAGAAGUGUUCGAUUCUGAACAGUGAUGUGAGAAUGACUACAAUUUGAAAUAUCUGUUAAAUACAGCAACAUGACAUCACAAGGAUUGCUUUGGGAUCUUCUGCAUAUGAGAGAGAUUAAAAAGAUGAAACAGUAGGACUGGAAUAUGAGGGGAGAAAUAGAGAAAAACCUGGUUUCCAGCCUCUUUUAUGGGAGAAUGAUUUAUAUGUUUGCUUGACAGAAAUGGGAUUAUUUUAAGAGAUUAACACA